GGGCCUGUAGCUCAGUUGGUCAGAGCGCACGCCUGAUAAGCGUGAGGUCGGUGGUUCAAGUCCACCCAGGCCCACCA
This 77-nucleotide transfer RNA is filed under the name Lentibacillus lipolyticus. Its description in RNAcentral is "Lentibacillus sp. SSKP1-9 tRNA-Ile". It matches the Rfam family "tRNA". From Rfam's summary of the family: Transfer RNA (tRNA) molecules are approximately 80 nucleotides in length. Their secondary structure includes four short double-helical elements and three loops (D, anti-codon, and T loops). The record is from RNAcentral. Lineage: Bacteria; Bacillati; Bacillota; Bacilli; Caryophanales; Bacillaceae.